UAAGUUUUAGGGUACAUGUGCACAUUGUGCAGGUUAGUUACAAAUUGCUGAUCUUUGUAAUCUAUAAUUGUACCAUAAAAUACAUUUAGUAAGUAAUAACUGACAUUAAAGAAAUGCAUCACUGAUGGUAAUGGCACAACAUUAUUUUGUGAAUAAUCUGUUUUAGUCAUAUACACGUCCAUAUACAUGCAUGUGUGUGUGUGUGUGUGUGUAUGUACUGAGUUUUCAUAUAAUGUAACAUAUCAAAAAAUCGCUCAAAUGUUUCUGCUCUAAACUGUGAAAAUUCAAAUUAGAAACUGAGGGGAAAGAGCUCGGUGAGUAAGCCUGAAGACUUACACCUGAAUGUACAAUUUUAUCAUGUUAGAAUGAAAAAUCGACAUUUGGCAAAUAUUUAUUAUUAUGCUUUUGCAUUGUACUUAUCUACUUAUUUCUCCUAAUAGUCUUUGAUAAAUCACUUUUGAAAAUUCCAAGUGGAUUCAGCCAGGCUGAGAAAAGCGAAAAAGAGCUAUUUGAGUCACAUAUAGACAUAAAAAAUGGCAGAGAUGAUGUGUGUACUCAGGAGUUUAGAUGUGAUUGAGGUUGUUGUUGGUGGGGAUGGAGGAGGAAAGAGGAUUAGAUAAAGAAAUGAAAAAGCUGAAGGGACUUAAUCUGGUCCUUUUAUGCUUACGUUAAAGUUUUUGCUCUUAUUCUCUCUAUUUCUCUAUUGUUACUUUUAAAUAAAAAGGCUUCUAAGCAACUAAGGAUGGCACAAAUGUACCACAGGGCACAAAAAGAAAAAUAUUUAAAAAGGAUGGGCUUAGGAUUUGGGGCAACAAUAUUAAUUUAUUUACUUUAAAAAUUUUCAUUUACUUAGGUCUACGUUGUUUUUCAAAGUAUAGGUGAUACAUUCCAUUGCUUACCAAGAGCUUUGAAGAAUUUGUAAAGAAAUUGUUCUGAAAUAUUUUCAGAUGAAGCUCAAUUAAAUAACACUUUUAGAAAUAUCAUCUUGCUUAAGAAUUCCUUCUUUAUCCCAAAGUCAUAAAGAUAUUUUCUUGCUUUAUUCUAAAGUUUUAAAGCUUCAUUUUUUACCUUUAAAUCUUUAAGCCACAUAGAUAUUACUUUUAAGCAUUGUGUGACACAGUAAUUUUCUCUACAUUUUCAUCAUAAUCUUCCUAAUACUCUUAUUAUUGUUCUACAAUAGUGGUUGAUGUAGACUAGAUAUUUGUCCCUGCCCAAAUCUCGUGUUGAAUUGUAACCCCAGUGCUGGAGGUAGAGCCUGGUGGGAGAUGUUUGGAUCACAGGGGAGGACCCCUCAUGUUUUGGUGCUGUCUUCAUGAUAGUAAGAUCUUGUGAGAUCUGACUGUUUAAAAGUAUGUGACACCUCCCCUACACCCCCAGCCUUGCUCCACUCAGGCCAUGUGACAUGCCUGCUCCCCUUUUACCUUCUGCCAUGAUUAUAAGUUUCCUGAGGCCUCCCUGGAAGCCCAGAAGAUGCCAGCACCAUGCUUCUUUUAAAGCUGGCAUAACUGUGAGCCAGUUAAACCUCUUUUCUUUAUAAAUUACCCAGUCUCAGGUAUUUCUUUAUAGCAAUGCAAGAAUGGCCUAAUACAGUGGUAUUCUGACUUAUAUUAAGAUUUUAUCGAUGCAUGGCUUUGUUUCUGUAUUGUCUAUUCUUUUCCAUAGUUCUAUUUAUUUAGUAAUCGACAGCUAUCACAGUCUUAAUCACUAGGGAUUAACAAGUCUUGGUAUUUUUCUUAGAUAUCUACAGCUGCGUCACAGAUUAUUCCAGAAUUUAAUGAUUUAAAACAACAGUAAACAUGUAUUCUCUCUCACAUAUUGUGCAGGUCAGAAACUCUAUAGUGGAUUAGCUAUGCAGUUUUAGCUCAGAGUCUCUUAUGAAGUCAAGAAACUGGCUGGAGCUGUUGUCAUCUGCAGGCUUAAUUGGACUAGAGGAUUUGCUUUCAACGUGGCUCACUCACGUGGCUGGCAAGUUGGUGUUCGUUGUUGGUGGAGAGCCUCAAUUCCUAUCCACAAAGCAUUUCAUCCUGUUACACAACCUACCAAAGAGGCCUGGAAACCCGAAUGGCAACGUGGAGAACAGCCUCCCUGGAAAGGCGUCUGUGGCCACUGUGGACGUUAAAUGAGAGAUCUUCAUUAACAGAAUAACUCAACAUUGAAUGCAAGAAAUACUUUCAACAAAGGUCAGUAAUAUUUAAAGUCACAUAACUUCAUCACAAAGCCAAUUGUUUAGAAUUUUCAUGAGCAGGGUGCAGUGGCAUGUGCCUGUAAUCCCAGCUACUCAAGAGGAUGAGGCUGGAGCAUCACUUGAGUGCAGGAGUUGGUGACUAGCCUGGGAAACAUAGCAGGACUUCACAUUUUUACAAAUAAUAGAAUAAGUUAAAAUUUUCAUCAUUUUUUUCUGCCAGAUUUAAAAAUAUUUUACUUUAAAAAUUUCAGAAACCAUGUUAAGAAAAAAAUAAGAUUAAAAGAGGAGAUAAAUUUUAUGACUGAAAAUUAGUUAUACAAGUUAAAGUCUCAAUUACCUAUAAAACUUUAUUAAAGGUGAGAAUUAUCUUAAACAUCACAAUUUCCUGAAAUUUGUCACUCUUUUAAUGCUCACUUAGACCUUAUUGUAAACACCUACAUUCUUAGGCAAUUAUUUAUUCCAGAACCCAUUUUUGCUUGGUUAUCCAGUCUUCUACUUCUAUCAGCAUUGAAAAACAUAAAACCGCAGGGCUAAGAAUACUUGUAAGGAGAACUACCUACUCUUUUUCCAAACGUCUGAUGUGCUGGGUCUUUAUAUUAUCUGGUAUUACAAUGGAAACAAUGUUUUUGAUGAUGAAGAUUAUUUCGAUAAAUGACUUUUCCAAUUAUCAGACUCCUUAAAAUUCACUUUUGUACUUAAUGUUGUGUAAAGCUGUUUAUUGCUUCUUUAUUCCAGGGUCAAAAACAUUUUUCCAUCUCUAUAUUUGCAGCAAGUAUGAGCAGGUGGAAUAUUUACUAUGUUGUAAAUAUCCAAUAUAUGCAAUAAACUCAACCUCUCUAAAAUGUUUAUUCGUGAUUCCUUUAUGAGCAACCUAAUGAUGCUGAACCAGUAUUUAAAGACUCUCUUCAAUGUAAAUGCCCUAUUUGGUGAUCCCUAAUUUAGUUUCACUGAUGCAGAAGUAAAGUCUAAAGAUUAUAUCAUAGAUAAUGCAAAACACUUAAACACUGUUUUCGGGGGAACAAACAACUGAUUUUUGAUAUGUAUACAAUUCUAACUGCAGGAACUGUAGCUAGAGAGUUGCCAAUCAACCAUGCACGUUCAGCAGCUCUAGGAAAUCCUUCAAA
Molecule: long non-coding RNA, 3309 nt
Organism: Gorilla gorilla gorilla (western lowland gorilla)
Lineage: Eukaryota; Metazoa; Chordata; Mammalia; Primates; Hominidae
Exons: 3
Source: RefSeq, a predicted model, not a curated record